AAUCAACGCUGGCGGCGUGCCUAACACAUGCAAGUCGAACGCGAAAGCCCCGCAAGGGGUUAGUAGAGUGGCAAACGGGUGAGUAACACGUGGGUGACCUGCCUUCGAGCGGGGGAUAACGUCCCGAAAGGGACGCUAAUACCGCAUAACAUCCUGCCUUUUAAGAGGUGGAGAUCAAAGCCGGGGAUCGCAAGACCUGGCACUUGAAGAGGGGCCCGCGCCUGAUUAGCUAGUUGGUGGGGUAAUGGCUCACCAAGGCAACGAUCAGUAUCCGGCCUGAGAGGGCGGACGGACACACUGGGACUGAGACACGGCCCAGACUCCUACGGGAGGCAGCAGUGGGGAAUUGUUCGCAAUGGGCGCAAGCCUGACGACGCAACGCCGCGUGGAGGAUGAAGACCUUCGGGUCGUAAACUCCUUUCGAUCGAGACGAAUGGUCUCCGGGUGAAUAGCCUGGAGAAGUGACGGUACCGAGAGAAGAAGCCCCCGCUAACUCCGUGCCAGCAGCCGCGGUAAUACGGGGGGGGCAAGCGUUGUUCGAAAUACUGGGCGUAAAGGGCU
RNAcentral lists this ribosomal RNA (561 nucleotides) under uncultured bacterium. RNAcentral's name for it is "bacterial SSU rRNA". It matches the Rfam family "Bacterial small subunit ribosomal RNA", at positions 28 to 569 of the family's 1533-position model. The record is from RNAcentral.